UUUAGCAAUCCCACAUCGGAAAGUGAGAGGAACAAGGAGUCAAAUGACUCCUAUAAAAGCCAUCCUCAGCAAAGGCUUAAGAUAGGCUUGUGGGCUCAAAACUCAGCCCACAUAAAGUGGAAUGGGUAUGUGGGCUGUGUCAUAGGACAGGCCCAACAUCCUUUAGUAAAAUCCAUUUUAAGUUCCAUGGAAUCCUUGGUAAUAUUUUCAUUUUGUAAUUUUUUUUAAAGAAAAAUUAAAAUCUUUUGAAUCGGUCGGUUUUUUUGGAACCGGUCGGUUCGUCCGGUUCACUGGUUGAACUGCCGGUUUGAAUGGUUCAACCCCGGUUCGAUCUCAAUCCGGUCCAAAUGAUCGAAUCGGACCGGAAUGGUGACCGGCCGACGAUUGGACCGGUCCGACCAGCCGGUCCGAUCCGAUUUUUAAAACAUUG
Molecule: long non-coding RNA, 430 nt
Filed under: Vitis vinifera (wine grape)
Lineage: Eukaryota; Viridiplantae; Streptophyta; Magnoliopsida; Vitales; Vitaceae
Description: long non-coding RNA (VVIN_LNC001081)
Source: RNAcentral